AGUGAACGCUGGCGGUAGGCCUAACACAUGCAAGUCGAACGGCAGCACAGUAAGAGCUUGCUCUUACGGGUGGCGAGUGGCGGACGGGUGAGGAAUACAUCGGAAUCUACUUUUUCGUGGGGGAUAACGUAGGGAAACUUACGCUAAUACCGCAUACGACCUACGGGUGAAAGCAGGGGAUCUUCGGACCUUGCGCGAUUGAAUGAGCCGAUGUCGGAUUAGCUAGUUGGCGGGGUAAAGGCCCACCAAGGCGACGAUCCGUAGCUGGUCUGAGAGGAUGAUCGGCCACACUGGAACUGAGACACGGUCCAGACUCCUACGGGAGGCAGCAGUGGGGAAUAUUGGACAAUGGGCGCAAGCCUGAUCCAGCCAUACCGCGUGGGUGAAGAAGGCCUUCGGGUUGUGAAGCCCUGUUGUUGGGAGAGAAAAGCAGCAGGUUAAUACCCCGCUGUUCUGACGGUACCCAAAGAAUAAGCACCGGCUAACUUCGUG
This 492-nucleotide ribosomal RNA is filed under the name uncultured bacterium. RNAcentral's name for it is "partial 16S ribosomal RNA". It matches the Rfam family "Bacterial small subunit ribosomal RNA", at positions 29 to 507 of the family's 1533-position model. The record is from RNAcentral.